AAACCAACAGGGAUUGCCUCAGUAACGGCGAGUGAAGCGGCAAGAGCUCAAAUUUGAAAUCUGGUACUUUCAGUGCCCGAGUUGUAAUUUGAAGAUUGUACUCUGGAGUUGGCCCUUAUCUAUGUUCCUUGGAACAGGACGUCACAGAGGGUGAGAAUCCCGUGCGAUGGGGAGCCCGAUUCCAUGUAGAGUGCUCUCGAAGAGUCGAGUUGUUUGGGAAUGCAGCUCUAAGUGGGUGGUAAAUUCCAUCUAAAGCUAAAUAUUGGCGAGAGACCGAUAGCGAACAAGUACAGUGAUGGAAAGAUGAAAAGAACUUUGAAAAGAGAGUGAAAAAGUACGUGAAAUUGUUGAAAGGGAAGGUUAUUAGAUCAGACUUGGUGUUUGGCGAUAUUCAGUCUCUCGUAGACUGUUCACUCGCCCUUCACUGGGCCAGCAUCGGUUUGGGUGGCAGGAUAAUGGCUGUUGAACGUGGCUUCUCCGGAAGUGUUAUAGCUUCAGCUGAUACUGCCUACCUAGACCGAGGACUGCGGCUUCUGCCUAGGAUGCUGGCGUAAUGAUCUAAUAUCGC
This 568-nucleotide ribosomal RNA is filed under the name Waltiozyma pijperi. RNAcentral's name for it is "eukaryotic LSU rRNA". It matches the Rfam family "Eukaryotic large subunit ribosomal RNA", at positions 62 to 648 of the family's 3401-position model. The record is from RNAcentral. Lineage: Eukaryota; Fungi; Ascomycota; Saccharomycetes; Phaffomycetales; Wickerhamomycetaceae.